CCAGAGAACUUAGCAGAGAUGCUUUGGUGCCUUCGGGAACUCUGAGACAGGUGCUGCAUGGCUGUCGUCAGCUCGUGUUGUGAAAUGUUGGGUUAAGUCCCGCAACGAGCGCAACCCUUAUCCUUGUUGCCAGCGGCUCGGCCGGGAACUCAAAGGAGACUGCCGGUGAUAAACCGGAGGAAGGUGGGGAUGACGUCAAGUCAUCAUGGCCCUUACGGCCAGGGCUACACACGUGCUACAAUGGCGCAUACAAGAGAAGCGACCUCGCGAGAGCAAGCGGACCUCAUAAAGUGCGUCGUAGUCCGGAUUGGAGUCUGCAACUCGACUCCAUGAAGUCGGAAUCGCUAGUAAUCGUAGAUCAGAAUGCUACGGUGAAUACGUUCCCGGGCCUUGUACACACCGCCCGUCACACCAUGGGAGUGGGUUGCAAAAGAAGUAGGUAGCUUAACCUUCGGGAGGGCGCUUACCACUUUGUGAUUCAUGACUGGGGUGAAGUCGUAACAAGGUAAGCGUAGCGAG
This 519-nucleotide ribosomal RNA is filed under the name uncultured bacterium. Its description in RNAcentral is "bacterial SSU rRNA". It matches the Rfam family "Bacterial small subunit ribosomal RNA", at positions 988 to 1509 of the family's 1533-position model. The record is from RNAcentral.